Long non-coding RNA from Hibiscus syriacus, 1003 nucleotides. RefSeq lists it as uncharacterized. The record is from RefSeq and is a predicted model, not a curated record. The transcript is spliced from 5 exons. Lineage: Eukaryota; Viridiplantae; Streptophyta; Magnoliopsida; Malvales; Malvaceae.
UUUUACGUGCUCUUAUCUGUCUUCGUUUUCUUUGAUUUUGAUUAAUGCAGACUAUGUACGAGGAACCAUCUUGGGUUACAAUAGGUCCAAGUCGAACCAGUAUCCAUACACUUCUUUGAUCCAGAUUGACGGGGUUAACACCAAGGAGGAAGUAGCUUCGUAUGCUGGCAAGCGUAUGGCUUAUAUCUACAAGGCUAAAGUGAAGAAGAAUGGCUCACACUAUCGCUGCUUUUGAUUUUACAUGUAUAUUUCGUUUCCUUUGCAGGGAGAUAGAGUCAGAGUCUUCAUGUACCCUAGCAGUAUACGAAGGUGAAACGAGUUUUCAUCUAUUUGGUAUUAUCAUGUGCGUUUCAGCUACAGCUGCAAGAGCUCUCAAGUCGGUUUUACAAGAAGGAGAGAAACUAAAUUCAAUGAACCUCCUCCUCUACAUGGCUCCCAUAAUUGUUGUGUUUCUACUUCCCACAACUCUCAUUAUGGAAGAAAAUGUGGCCGUACCACCCUUGCGCUUGACCGAGAUGAUGUCAAGAUCAUUCUCUUGUUAAAUUCAGCAGUAGCAUAUUUUGUGAAUUUGACCAACUUUUUGGUCACGAAACACACCGAUGCGCUCACUUUACAGGUUCUAGGAAAUGCAAAAGGAGCCGUAGCUGUGGUGGUUUCUAUUUUAAUUUUCAGAAACCCAGUUUCUGUUACUGGAAUGCUUGGUUAUACACUCACAGUCUUUGGGGUUAUACUUUAUGCUGAAGCCAAUAAACAAAGUAGUAAAUGAGACAUCAUCCUGCGGACACGAUAUGCAUGUGACCGUUCGUUCAUAUAUUGUGUUUAUUUUAUUGAAAGGACACAGCAACAUCGAAAUAGGCAAGUAAGGGCCAUGUUAGAUUCAUUUUCUGUCCCCUGGAAGCCUAGGAAACAUUGUCUUUCUUUUGUGUAUCAGAACCGACUGCAGGAUUGGUAAGAACUAUAGAGAACUCCAAUAAUUGACUGGUUGGUAUUUCUAUUAUUCCCA